Diospyros lotus (date-plum) is the source of this 104-nucleotide small nucleolar RNA. The record is from RefSeq and is a predicted model, not a curated record. NCBI's taxonomy places the organism in Eukaryota, Viridiplantae, Streptophyta, Magnoliopsida, Ericales, Ebenaceae.
AGACCAUGGUGAGGACAUUUCCUAAGCAUUUCCUUAAAUCUCUCCCACGACUCAUAUAAGAAUUCAUUACCAAACUGCAAAAAAGUUAUGUCAUACCUUAAUUU